Molecule: long non-coding RNA, 1819 nt
Filed under: Homo sapiens (human)
Lineage: Eukaryota; Metazoa; Chordata; Mammalia; Primates; Hominidae
Description: HSALNT0298363
Source: RNAcentral
AGUACUCUGGAGUUUUUCCGUACCUGGAAACGUGUCUUGGAACUGAUGCUGAACUGAAUUUCUUGGGUUCGAGUUUAAGGGACUCAGGAUUGCAGAAGCCUCGUUAAUGGGAUCUAGAGAUGCGAAGAACUGGCCGGCCGAGGGCUGCAGGCCUGAGAGGUGCACCCCGGCGGGCCGCCCACCGGUUAGCAGGGAAGUGAGAUCUGGGGACAAGGGAAAAGGAUAGCAGGUUACAUCUCGGGCACACUCACACUCUCCGCUGAUUUGUUCCUCCCCUUCCCCUUGCCCUGGAUUCACUUUUAUUGAGCGAAGUCAAGAGAGAACCCGUCUAGGCGCUGAAACCUCUCUCUCCCAACAGUUGCCAAGGAGCGACGCACGAAAAGUUCCUGUGUGUCCCUCACGUCCAUAUGCAUGUAUAUAGUAAGUAAAGGCUUUACAUAAAUCGGCUUACGGCCUCACUUUCACGUGUCUUCCAAGAACGCCACAGACGCAAAACCUCCGCCCCAAGGUGGCCCCACUCUGCCCGCUCAUCUAGGCGGUUUUGUUUAUUAUUUACAUUUCCUGGGUGAAAUUUUUACUAGAAAUCAGAUAAGUGCGAAAGUGUUUCCCAAAAAUGCUUUAGCUGUCAGAAAAUAUAAUUCUGUCUCUAGAUACAUUAUUAAAGAGAUCAAAGUCAUGUUAGCAGAUAAUUACACCAACCACUUUUAUAAAUAUUGAUUCUAAGACGUGUUUUUAAAGAAUCCCUGGAGUCAUUUUUUGUUUGUUUUACAUAGAACAGGUGAGUUUUAGACCUAAUGUUUUGUAGUUUUCUUACAAUUCGUUUUCUUCUCUCCCGUUUUACCGAUUUGUCCUUAAUUGUAAAAACACUCAAAGGCACCCCAAGCCAGCCCGGGGUCCGGGGAGUGGGUCAGUGGUCAGAGGCCUGCAGCCUCCCGCCCAAGACCUACCUCUCAGCGUGUUGCCUUCUUUGACUUUUGGGUCAAAUUCUGCAGAUAAAAUGCGGUCAAUUCCAAAUUUGAGGUCUUUGCUGGAGGGGGCCGGGGCAGAGCCACUGUGGUGGGGGUUCGGAACCACUCGCGUCCCCGAGGCCGGGGGCUGCAGGGCGCCAGCCCGGGGCGGAGGCGGAGGCUGUUGCUGCUGCGGCUGUUGCUGCUGCUGUUGUUGUUGCGGGUGAUGGUGGUGGUAGGCGGCUGAGAGCGGAGACAGCCGCUGCGGGAAGCCAGCCGGGACUUCGGAGGGCGCCACCACUGGGGUGGGUCGAAGCGGGGAUCUGGCCGCCGCUUGGAAAGAGGCGUGCGGGUGAACCGAGCCCAAGUGCGCGGUGAGGGCGGCGGCCGAGGCCCCUGCCAGGCCCUCCGGGGCCGCCCCCAGAUCCCCCACGCCGGCGUGCAGAAUGUCUGCGAUGCAGAAGGAGGGCUUUUUGACGGCGGCGGGGUCCAAGGGGAAGGAGCAGCCGCCUGGGCCGGCCGAGGAGCAGUAAGCGGCCGACCAGAGGCUGAAGUUGGAGGCGUAGAAGGGAGCCAGCCCGGCUGCGAACAUCCUGCCGGGGCCAGGUGGUCUCAGAAGAGGCAACUGGUUGCCAGGAAGCACAGUCUAUGAGACCCAGAAGUAACUCUGGAGAUCCUCCAAUUACCUCUCACUUUACAGUGAAGGAAACUGAGGCCCAGAUGGAGUCAGUAGGUUACUUGAGAUCUCACAGUUGCAGAAGUGGACUAAAAGCCAGAUGGAGUUUUGCUCUCGUUGCCCAGGCUGGAAUGUAAAUAGUGUGAUCUCGACAUACUGCAACCUCUGCCUCCCAGGUUCAAGCGAUUCUCCUGCC